CCUACGGGUGGCAGCAGUGGGGGAUAUUGCACAAUGGGGGAAACCCUGAUGCAGCGACGCCGCGUGUGGGAAGACGGUCCUCUGGAUUGUAAACCACUGUCCCCAGGGACGAAGAUGACGGUACCUGGGGAGGAAGCUCCGGCUAACUACGUGCCAGCAGCAGCGGUAAUACGUAGGGAGCGAGCGUUGUCCGGAAUUACGGGGUGUAAGGGGAGCGUAGGCGGGACUGCAAGUUGGGUGGCAAAUCUACCGGCUCAACCGGUAGCCGCACUCAAAACUGCAGUUCUUGAGUGAAGUAGAGGCAGGCGGAAUUCCUAGUGUAGCGGUGAAAUGCGUAGAUAUUAGGAGGAACACCAGUGGCGAAGGCGGCCUGCUGGGCUUUUACUGACGCUGAGGCUCGAAAGUGUGGGGAGCAAACAGGAUUAGAUACCCCAGUAGUC
RNAcentral lists this ribosomal RNA (440 nucleotides) under uncultured bacterium. RNAcentral's name for it is "partial 16S ribosomal RNA". It matches the Rfam family "Bacterial small subunit ribosomal RNA", at positions 338 to 795 of the family's 1533-position model. The record is from RNAcentral.